GGACCCGCACAAGCAGUGGAGCAUGUGGUUUAAUUCGACGCAACGCGAAGAACCUUACCAGCGUUUGACAUGAGAAGUGCCGGUUACAGAAUGGUAACCUUCAGUUCGGCUGGCUUCUACACAGGUGCUGCAUGGCUGUCGUCAGCUCGUGUCGUGAGAUGUUGGUUAAGUCCCGCAACGAGCGCAACCCUUAUCGUUAGUUACUAACAGUUCGGCUGAGGACUCUAGCGAAACUGCCGGUGAUAAAGCCGGGGAAAGUGGGGGAUGACGUCAAGUCCUCAUGGCCCUUACACGCUGGGCUACACACGUGCUACAAUGGUAACUACAACGGGACGCAAUACCGCGAGGUGGAG
Molecule: ribosomal RNA, 353 nt
Filed under: uncultured bacterium
Lineage: Bacteria
Description: bacterial SSU rRNA
Rfam family: Bacterial small subunit ribosomal RNA
Source: RNAcentral